This 366-nucleotide long non-coding RNA is filed under the name Cyanistes caeruleus (blue tit). RNAcentral's name for it is "lncRNA (ENSCCEG00000005249.1)". Lineage: Eukaryota; Metazoa; Chordata; Aves; Passeriformes; Paridae. The record is from RNAcentral.
CAGUGCUUGGCUUCUAGGACUUCACCCCAAAAUGAAGGGAUCCGGCUAAAAUUGCACAAGGCUUUUCAGAAGAGGUUGAGCAACCACAGCUGCCAAACAAUGACAUUAAGUCAGCUGGAAUUGCUGCUCAAGGAGAAAAGUAUGCUGACCAGGGUAAUAACAGAUACCACAUGCAGGGGUAGUAAUUAAUUUCAGGCUGAGAGGAGGAGCAGACAGCAAAAGCUCAGUGUCCUCAGCAGUCACAGACAUGCCUCUCCAGCCUUCUUCAAAAGCACUUCUAUGAAGGGAGAUGUGAGGGGAUGAUUUCCUGCAGCAUUUCCAGUCUGUUUUCAGAACAAGUAUUUUCAUGGGUGAGUUUUGGGCCUG